Molecule: ribosomal RNA, 489 nt
Filed under: uncultured bacterium
Lineage: Bacteria
Description: partial 16S ribosomal RNA
Rfam family: Bacterial small subunit ribosomal RNA
Source: RNAcentral
UUGAACGCUGGCGGCAGGCCUAACACAUGCAAGUCGAACGGUAACAGGAAGCAGCUUGCUGCUUCGCUGACGAGUGGCGGACGGGUGAGUAAUGUCUGGGAAGCUGCCUGAUGGAGGGGGAUAACUACUGGAAACGGUAGCUAAUACCGCAUAAUGUCGCAAGACCAAAGAGGGGGACCUUCGGGCCUCUUGCCAUCGGAUGUGCCCAGAUGGGAUUAGCUUGUUGGUGGGGUAACGGCUCACCAAGGCGACGAUCCCUAGCUGGUCUGAGAGGAUGACCAGCCACACCGGAACUGAGACACGGUCCAGACUCCUACGGGAGGCAGCAGUGGGGAAUAUUGCACAAUGGGCGCAAGCCUGAUGCAGCCAUGCCGCGUGUAUGAAGAAGGCCUUCGGGUUGUAAAGUACUUUCAGCGGGGAGGAAGGGAGUAAAGUUAAUACCUUUGCUCAUUGACGUUACCCGCAGAAGAAGCACCGGCUAACUCCGUG